This 1913-nucleotide long non-coding RNA is filed under the name Sorghum bicolor (sorghum). RNAcentral describes it as "long non-coding RNA (SBIC_LNC009429)". The record is from RNAcentral. Lineage: Eukaryota; Viridiplantae; Streptophyta; Magnoliopsida; Poales; Poaceae.
GCGGCGGGACGGGGAUGGGAGCGAUUGGCGGGUGGACGGGGACGGGGAGCGGAGCCAUGGGAGGAGUGGGGGCGGGGGCCACAAUUUUUUUAAAAAAAUUGCUUUUCCUCAAUUUGGUAAUAUUGCAACGGAAGAAAAACAUCAAAUAACCCUAGAAAGUGAUGACAUAAUGUUACAUAUCUAUUUAUAUUUAUCUAUUUUAUAAAAUUUAAAGUCCAUAAUUUAUUUUAUUGAUAACCAUAACAUCUAUGGUAUUAGAUAGUUAAUAUUUACAAUAAUAUGUAGCUUAAAGACAUAUUUAUUUAAUAAUAAAAAUAGAAAAUAGUUAAAUCUUAUCUCACUCUAAUAUUACCUCUUAAUAUGCCUCAGUAUUAUAUUAAAACAUGAGAAGUUUGAUGCUAGCAUUAUUUUUUUAAUUUAGAUUAGGAUUGCUAUGAAAUAUGAAUCAAGCAUCACAUUAAAUAGGCUACCAUUAAAUUUUUAUAAUAAUUGGAGCAAGAUAACUACAAUUUUAAUUUUAGAGUAAAAAGCAUAGGCAAGCAUUUUCAAAAAAAAGUGUACUAAAAUUUGUGAUAUUUUUUAUUUACUGCAUGGAUCUACAUAUGUAGAGCUGAACAAAAUUUGUUUUAUAAUUUUUAGAUUUUUCUAUGAAUUACUAUGUAUUUAUUAAUUCUCAGCCGAUUUAAAAAAUAAAAUAAAAGUAAAUUGAAGAUUUUAUAUUGGUAACCCUAGAAAAUUUUUUAUUUUUUUUCUACCUUCCAUCGCUGGGCUGAUUGGGCCUACAGAGGCGAGAGCGGACUAAUAUAAGAUUUUGCAUUAGGAACUCUAGAAUGUUUUUUAUUUUAUUUUUGCCCUUCUAGAAACGUUGGACGGAGGAGGCGAUCAGUAAACCGAACACGGACAGGAUUAGGGGCAGAAGAAAAUAUUUGGCAAACUGAAAUUUUCGCUCUUUAUAUAUAUAUAUAUAUAUAUAUAUAUAUAUAUAUAUAUAUAUAUAUCUCCAACAGUCGUGCGUGCAAUGUUUUUUUUUUGCUUGGCGUUCUCUUUCGAAAACAAAUGCUUUUUUCCUUGCCACCGCAAAUGUUUUUUUUCCUACACAUUCUCUUUCAAAACAGAAUGGGUAGGAAAACCUAUCUAGGAUAUGGACCGAGCCUCACUGCUGGUUUUUCGAGAACCCUAAUCAUUUCCUAAUUUUAAAGCUAAGAACCGGCAGUGAAGAGUUACCAGUGUCAGUUCACUAGCAACCGUCGCUAAUGGGCCGGCACAGGUCCGUUUCUAUAGCGGUGUAAGCCACUCGACCAAUCAUAUGCACUCCUAAUUUGCAGUCACUUUUUAGAUUGCCAUCAUGUAGAGCUUCUUAGACUAUCUCCAACAAUCGUCACCCAAAAUACAAAAUCCAUUUGUCCUUUGGGUAGCGCUACAGUUAAAAGGUUUCAUACCUAUUUUUAGUCUUCUCCAAUCACAAGACCUAAAAGACAAUAUUCUCUGCAAAUGGGUCUCGAAAAGAGAGGAUAUCCAAAUUUGGGUUAUGGCUCUUCUGAUACCCAAAGUGGGUCUUCUGUAUGGGUACUCUGUUGGAGGCUAUGGGUAUUGUGUUGGAGACCCAUUUUGGGUUUGGGUUCCCAAAUGGGUGUGGUGUUGGAGACAGCCUUAGCAACUUUAAUUUAGGUCCUGUUUAGAUUGGAGAUAAAAAAAUUUUGGGUGUCACAUCGGAUGUGUCGGAAGGAUGUCGGGAGGGGUUUUUAGAAACUAAUAAAAAAACAAAUUGCAUAGAUCGUCACGAAACUGCAGGACAAAUCUAUUAAGCAUAAUUAAUCUGUCAUUAACAUAUGUGGGUUACUGUAGCACUUAAGGCUAAUCAUAGAGUAACUAGGCUUAAAAGAUUCGUCUCGCGAUUUUCAACUAAACUGUGU